This 758-nucleotide ribosomal RNA is filed under the name Caulobacteraceae bacterium. RNAcentral describes it as "bacterial SSU rRNA". It matches the Rfam family "Bacterial small subunit ribosomal RNA", at positions 30 to 834 of the family's 1533-position model. Lineage: Bacteria; Pseudomonadati; Pseudomonadota; Alphaproteobacteria; Caulobacterales; Caulobacteraceae. The record is from RNAcentral.
CGAACGCUGGCGGCAGGCCUAACACAUGCAAGUCGAACGAACUCUUCGGAGUUAGUGGCGGACGGGUGAGUAACACGUGGGAACGUGCCUUUAGGUUCGGAAUAACUCAGGGAAACUUGUGCUAAUACCGAAUGUGCCCUUCGGGGGAAAGAUUUAUCGCCUUUAGAGCGGCCCGCGUCUGAUUAGCUAGUUGGUGAGGUAAAGGCUCACCAAGGCGACGAUCAGUAGCUGGUCUGAGAGGAUGAUCAGCCACAUUGGGACUGAGACACGGCCCAAACUCCUACGGGAGGCAGCAGUGGGGAAUCUUGCGCAAUGGGCGAAAGCCUGACGCAGCCAUGCCGCGUGAAUGAUGAAGGUCUUAGGAUUGUAAAAUUCUUUCACCGGGGACGAUAAUGACGGUACCCGGAGAAGAAGCCCCGGCUAACUUCGUGCCAGCAGCCGCGGUAAUACGAAGGGGGCUAGCGUUGCUCGGAAUUACUGGGCGUAAAGGGAGCGUAGGCGGACAUUUAAGUCAGGGGUGAAAUCCCGGGGCUCAACCUCGGAAUUGCCUUUGAUACUGGGUGUCUUGAGUAUGAGAGAGGUGUGUGGAACUCCGAGUGUAGAGGUGAAAUUCGUAGAUAUUCGGAAGAACACCAGUGGCGAAGGCGACACACUGGCUCAUUACUGACGCUGAGGCUCGAAAGCGUGGGGAGCAAACAGGAUUAGAUACCCUGGUAGUCCACGCCGUAAACGAUGAUUGCUAGUUGUCGGGAUGCAUG